Molecule: unclassified non-coding RNA, 337 nt
Filed under: soil metagenome
Description: partial contains 5.8S ribosomal RNA, internal transcribed spacer 2, and large subunit ribosomal RNA
Rfam family: 5.8S ribosomal RNA (bases 1-120)
Source: RNAcentral
GAUGAAGAACGUAGCGAAAUGCGAUAAGUAAUGUGAAUUGCAGAAUUCAGUGAAUCAUCGAAUCUUUGAACGCACAUUGCGCCCCUUGGUAUUCCGGGGGGCAUGCCUGUUCGAGCGUCAUUUCAACCCUCAAGCUCUGCUUGGUAUUGGGCACCGUCCUUUGCGGGCGCGCCUCAAAGACCUCGGCGGUGGCGUCUUGCCUCAAGCGUAGUAGAAUACACCUCGCUUCGGAACGUAAGGCGUCGCCCGCCGGACGAACCUUCUGAACUUUUCUCAAGGUUGACCUCGGAUCAGGUAGGGAUACCCGCUGAACUUAAGCAUAUCAAUAAGCGGAGGA